GCCGCUGACCCUCUGCGACCCUCGGCCCGGGCCCGCCCCCGCUCUUCCCUUCCCAUCGCCUCUCUUUUAAUGAAAUGAAGAAGAGGGAAUGCUGGUUGGGCUGCAACGCCUUCCGCUCGGCACACAGGGCGGUGACAGAGACGCCCAACUGGCAAAACCGUGCCGCUUCUUCGGGCGUCAGAUCCCAUCCUUGUGGUGGAGCCCUCGCUUUGGCCCCCAUCCUCCGGCCCUGGGGUCUUCCGAAAGCAGCCCCAAGCUGGCCCUUGCCGUUGGGCAGAUCCCUGCAGGUUUCCCGCUGGGGGAGCCCGGCGGCCAGCUGCUAUUUCAUCGGGUGGCCAGCAGAGGGCAGCUUGUUUCUGGGAAUUGUAGCCACAGAAGAUGGGCGAAGCAAGGAACUGGUGGAGGCCAAGACUUUUUCUUUCCUCCUCAACCCCGCCCAGGCAAUAGGUGGCCUUGUCAGCACAUCAGUUAGGGGGGUUCCUUCCCAUGCCAUGGAUAAGCUGAUUAGACCACACAUCUUGGGAGAACUAAGGUUGAAGGUUGCCUGGCCGACAGGAGGAAAGGGCUGUGCCCCCACCACAUCAUUUGGCCUGGAGACCCCUAAACUGCAGUAUAUCCCCCAGUGGCUGAAGCGGGGAUCUGGACUGAGAAACUCAGAACUCCUUGGCAUCAUCAGAAGUUGUCUUCAACCCAAAAGAAAUCAAAGGUUUACAGUUCCUGAGUCGUCCGGGGCUCUUCCUUCCAACCAGUCAGCCAAGAAAAAAGGCCAAGAUGAAAGGCAGAAAAGUUCCACUCCCUAUGCUAAAGGUAAGUAAUUUCUAAGUCUUUAAGCAGAGGUCAGAUCCCCUACUCUCACUGGGCACCCUGCCAACACUAAAAAAAGGGCAUGUCAGCCUCUGAAAUCUACCCCGGAACAAGAGUAAUGUAGUGACUUGAAAUAAAAGCUUUUUUUUUUUCCAUUACUUGAGUUAGGAAAGAUGGAUGGUCUUUUCUUUCUCAGGUAGUCUCAUGCUGUAGCCUUUCUGUACCUGGACUCAGGUUGACCCUGAAUGAGGCUGUCCCAUUUAAAAGGCCCUUAACAAUCUAGCUCAACAAUUAUAAAUAGUAUACCUUUCAGGGAUGAAUUUCUUAACUGCGCAGAUCUUUCUAGAGUCAACCAGUAAUGGGGCCUUUCUCAAGAAGUAAGCCUCGUGGAUGGAAUCUGAUAGUUGAGGAUUUGUGAUAAAAAGGCAAGAUCACUGAAAUCCCCCAACUUUUUCUGAAUAGGCCUCUGAUCUCCAGAGUUCCAAUUUAGUCUUACCUGUUCUGUGUGUUAUGUUAUGAAAAUUUACUUUAGCUUUCAAUUCCCUAUCCUGCUGGGAAAGAUUGUUGGCAAGUAAAAAACGUUGCAGAUGAAAAGGAUUUUCUUUGUCCUGAGAAACUCACAUUAUUUAUAAGGGCAACAACCGAAAACAUUUUCCCCACUGGAGGAACUCAGUGUCACAUUAAUGUAGCAGCAAAGGAAUCCUGGCGUCGAAUUAGGGAAGUGAAGUCAGUAAUAAUUGUGGUAUUGGUUAAGCACUUAAUAUGGGCCAAGCAAUAUUCUCAGUGCCAGGGUAGAGUCAAGAUAAUCAGGUAGGUCACAGUCCUUGUCCCGACUGGGGCUCACAGUCUAAGUAGGAGAAGUAAUGGUAUUUAAUUCCCAUUUCAUAGGGAAGGAAACUGAGGUAUAG
This 1712-nucleotide long non-coding RNA is filed under the name Ornithorhynchus anatinus (platypus). RNAcentral describes it as "lncRNA (ENSOANG00000037762.1)". Lineage: Eukaryota; Metazoa; Chordata; Mammalia; Monotremata; Ornithorhynchidae. The record is from RNAcentral.